This 240-nucleotide unclassified non-coding RNA is filed under the name soil metagenome. RNAcentral describes it as "partial contains 5.8S ribosomal RNA, internal transcribed spacer 2, and large subunit ribosomal RNA". The record is from RNAcentral.
AACGGUCUAUACCUGCGGUACCUGCGGAGGGAUCAUUAACGAGUGUAACUUACCCUUUUUUUUAAAAGAGGGUAGUACCUCCUGUCCUUUGUAGGCCCCUUUUUAUUGGGGGGCUUUUUAAGACUUUCUGCUUCGGCGGGGUUAUUCCCGCCGGAACACCCUCAAAAAACUCUUCAAAAACUAAUUCAGUCCGAGAAUUUUUGAAAAUAAAAAAAACUUUCAACAACGGAUCUCUAGAUC